This 253-nucleotide ribosomal RNA is filed under the name uncultured bacterium. Its description in RNAcentral is "partial 16S ribosomal RNA". It matches the Rfam family "Bacterial small subunit ribosomal RNA", at positions 524 to 776 of the family's 1533-position model. The record is from RNAcentral.
UACGAAGGGGGCUAGCGUUGCUCGGAAUUACUGGGCGUAAAGCGCACGUAGGCGGAUUGUUAAGUCAGGGGUGAAAUCCCGGGGCUCAACCCCGGAACUGCCUUUGAUACUGGUAGUCUCGAGUCCGGAAGAGGUGAGUGGAAUUCCGAGUGUAGAGGUGAAAUUCGUAGAUAUUCGGAGGAACACCAGUGGCGAAGGCGGCUCACUGGUCCGGUACUGACGCUGAGGUGCGAAAGCGUGGGGAGCAAACAGG